CCUACGGGACGCAGCAGUGAGGAAUAUUGGUCAAUGGACGAGAGUCUGAACCAGCCAAGUAGCGUGAAGGAUGACUGCCCUAUGGGUUGUAAACUUCUUUUAUAUGGGAAUAAAAUGUUCCACGUGUGGGAUUUUGUAUGUACCAUAUGAAUAAGGAUCGGCUAACUCCGUGCCAGCAGCCGCGGUAAUACGGAGGAUCCGAGCGUUAUCCGGAUUUAUUGGGUUUAAAGGGUGCGCAGGCGGAAGAUCAAGUCAGCGGUAAAAUUGAGAGGCUCAACCUCUUCUAGCCGUUGAAACUGGUUUUU
Molecule: ribosomal RNA, 305 nt
Filed under: uncultured bacterium
Lineage: Bacteria
Description: bacterial SSU rRNA
Rfam family: Bacterial small subunit ribosomal RNA
Source: RNAcentral